AUUAUGAAUAAAAAAUAAAUUCAUUUUAUAAGAAUUGCAUUGCAAUACCAAUUUUCAUAGCGAACCAAACAUGGCUUUAUAUCCAACUCACUCAUAUAUUUAAUCCAAGCUAAACCACAGAAACGUAGGGAUGAGAUGGAGAAAGUGAGGGUGACCUAUUUACAUGUACUUCCAAGGGUAGUUGUGACCUCUAUUAGUCUUCUUCCAUACCUUAAAAUAGAAGAGUCAAGAGCGGU
Molecule: unclassified non-coding RNA, 236 nt
Filed under: Hevea brasiliensis (rubber tree)
Lineage: Eukaryota; Viridiplantae; Streptophyta; Magnoliopsida; Malpighiales; Euphorbiaceae
Source: RNAcentral